AUGGGAGCUGUUGUCUCCUACACUGAGGCAGCCUUGGUAUGCCAACCAAUGAGCAAUGUCUAUCACAACUGUGGUGGUCCUCAAAGGUUGAUGCGUCACUGCCAGGGGGCCAAACACAUGGGUGCUAUCAGGGCUGGCCGGCUGGCCCCAACCUUAGGGAAUCUUGAUAAUUCCAGGCCGAAGGACAAAUGGCGGCCAAGGGGCAUGUGCGUACACCACCUAACUACCCACUGGGCUGGUUCCUUGGCCUCUUUAUUGCAACUCUUCAAGGCACCAAAGAUGCCCUUUGAGAGUCCUUCUACUGGCAGUGGGACAACAAGGCCACAAAGGUCACCUUUCACCGAGCCUCCUAAGGACAAGCAAUGCCCUGUCCUCUGUACCCAGCUGAUGGCAGCUCCAAAAGGACCCCACUGUAUUACUGAAAACAGAACAACAGUGCCUGCAAGCCUCAGCGGACAUAUUGUCCCAGUAAAUCACACUGCACUUUUCCUCACCUGCACAAACAUUCUUCUCUGGGCCUCUGGCCAACCUGCAGAGGAAUGCAGGCCUAGGACCACAGCAUAGUCCAUGGCGACCUCCAAGACUCAAGCAUGUGACAGGAGUUGCAAUUCAGCCACUGCCAAGGGCAGAAAUGGGCCUAUUAACUUUCACAACUGCCACCAUUCCCCCAGGUCUCUGCAGCCACUGCAGCCCACAUGGCACUCAGGAAUCUCAGCAACCCAAAGGGAUGCAACGGCGAGGGCCUCAGACCUGACCUGGGGCUCCAAUCACAAACCACAGAAGCUUCAUUGCUUUAGAAUCGACAUCACCAGAGCCCCAAUUAGUGCAUCUGCAGCAGGAAUCAGGACAAAAUGCACCUUUCCAAGCUAAGACGUCAACUGUCUGAGGCUAGGAUCUACUGCGACACCUACCACCACUGGACAAGCCAGAUGGCUCUAUGCUCCUCAGUGCCUUUACAUGGACCUUGUAUUCCAAGAGGGCCGCUAGAAUAUCUGUACAUGGCCCACCCUCAGACGGGAGCCUCGCAAAUGGUGGUGACCUGGCUCCUCCACGCGUGUGUGUGACACAGUCGGAGACGCCCUCACUGCUAACCAGUCCCACCCUUAACCCCAAGGGAGGCAACGUGCUGGACCUCAGUUUCGAUGAGGAGACGGUAGUGAGUUCUCACUCAUUUUGUUCAGAUUUUCCAAGGAAUGCAUGUGAGGGUGUCAUCAUCGAUCCGAGCACGUGCUGGCUUGCUGCCCACCUCCUCACGGCAGGAAGGGCUGCUCCCAGGAGGAGCCAGUGACCCGGGAGUCCUCCAGCAGCCAGGGGAACUCAGAGCCCUCAGGCUUCUCAGCAAGAGGAGCGGUCCCUCUAUACGUACAACCACUCAGGCAGUCCCAGGAAACCUGAAAUUCACGACACGUCUUGGGGCAGGAGAAGCCGUACCGUGCUGGGUGAUCCAAAAAGCAGUGGCAGCAACUCGGGUGCGCCACACUUCUUGCCGGACUCCCUUGCACCUUGAGUCACUGCCUCACGGGUGGGGGUUCAUCUCCUGGCUGAUGGACAGUCAUACGUGGCAACUUCACCUGACAAGUGGACAGAAAGCACAGGAAUGCUUCAGAUGUGUACUUGGUCUCUCACUAAUACUGAUGCAAGUGUUUCCCUAGGGGAAGGCCUGUAUCUGCACCCCAACUAUAUUGAUCCUUUACAGACGACUGGUUACCUAUCUUUCAAAAGAGUGCGGCAAAUUAGGCUCAAGUGCAUGUGGGUGUCUUUCUGACCAAGCGUGCAAGGGUAGCAGGGGAUUCGAUGUGAGUUUGAGUGCCUGCAUUCUGGUGUACCAAUAAAAACGCAUUCUCAGCAUUUUGGGUGUGUGUC
This 1863-nucleotide long non-coding RNA is filed under the name Bos indicus x Bos taurus (hybrid cattle). RNAcentral describes it as "lncRNA (ENSBIXG00005004338.1)". Lineage: Eukaryota; Metazoa; Chordata; Mammalia; Artiodactyla; Bovidae. The record is from RNAcentral.